AGCGAACGCUGGCGGCAGGCCUAACACAUGCAAGUCGAACGAACUCUUCGGAGUUAGUGGCGGACGGGUGAGUAACACGUGGGAACGUGCCUUUUGGUUCAGAAUAACUCAGGGAAACUUGUGCUAAUACCGAAUGUGCCCUUCGGGGGAAAGAUUUAUCGCCAUUAGAGCGGCCCGCGUCUGAUUAGCUAGUUGGUGAGGUAACGGCUCACCAAGGCGACGAUCAGUAGCUGGUCUGAGAGGAUGACCAGCCACACUGGGACUGAGACACGGCCCAGACUCCUACGGGAGACAGCAGUGGGGAAUCUUGCGCAAUGGGCGAAAGCCUGACGCAGCCAUGCCGCGUGAAUGAUGAAGGUCUUAGGAUUGUAAAAUUCUUUCACCGGGGACGAUAAUGACGGUACCCGGAGAAGAAGCCCCGGCUAACUUCGUGC
This 434-nucleotide ribosomal RNA is filed under the name uncultured bacterium. Its description in RNAcentral is "partial 16S ribosomal RNA". It matches the Rfam family "Bacterial small subunit ribosomal RNA", at positions 29 to 508 of the family's 1533-position model. The record is from RNAcentral.